Long non-coding RNA from Pipra filicauda (Wire-tailed manakin), 1131 nucleotides. RefSeq lists it as uncharacterized. Lineage: Eukaryota; Metazoa; Chordata; Aves; Passeriformes; Pipridae. The transcript has 6 exons. The record is from RefSeq and is a predicted model, not a curated record.
CAGUGCUUGACAUGACUGAUUCAAAAAACAUCUGUGGACAGCCUACCAUAUGCUUCAGUCUUUCACUAUGAUUUAAAAAUGUAAGAAGUCUUCUGAUAGGUCCUGGUCAUGUUUCCUACAACUGGUCUAAGAACAUGCAAAGAGAUUAUCAAUCUCCAGACCCAUAAGGAAUUGUUGAGGGCCCUCAGUUUUACUGCCUGUGCUCCAGACCAUCUGUGAUCCAGCCCAGCUCUGGGACUUUGGACCUGCUGCUGGAGAGGCCUGCUGCCAUGAGAAACAGCAGGUAGCACACUGAGAGAUUAGAAAACAACCAGGAGUAACCUUGAGAGAUGUCCUUACUCAAGGGGAGAUCCUGGUGUGCAGUCGUUGCUGUGCAGGAGAGCUUAGCAGGUGCUGGACUGUCUACUACUUAUGGAGUAAGGCACCUGAAAAGAAGAAAAAUGUGAAUGAACUGGAGGAACAUUAGAUCUGGUACACUGUUUAACUUGGAGAAGAGAUGGCUUCGGAGAAACAUAUGGAAAGAAACAAUCCAAGCUCUUUACUGCAGUGCUUUGCCAGGAAAAAGGAGUCAACAUUCAUAAAUUUAAAGCAGUACAUUCAGACUUAAUAUAAUAACAGAUUGGAUAUAUUUUCCCGAGGUUUGACUGGCUAUUUUGGAACUUUUGGAGACUUCUGCAGACUUCUGCACUCAAGAGUUUCCAGGUUUCCUCUUUGCUUGUCAGAGCUGUUCCUGUAUGAUUCCACCUGCCUGCUCCCUGAACAAGCCUCAGGCUGUUGCCUUGAUGCCUGAGGUCUAGGCUCUCCUACUCUAUUCCUUCUUUCCCCUUGGGAUCCUCAUGUCAAUUCUUCAUGCUCACUGUGGCCAAGGCUGCUAUGGAUUGCCACACCCUCACUGUGUCAUUAUUCAGCUUUAAACUGAAGCUCAACAGUGUUGAUGAACUUUUUGCUUAUAAAAUUUGUAUUCAUAAUGGAAGGAAUAAUCCAAAUAGUAUCUUCUGCACAAUUUGAUAUUAAUGUUAUUUUGAUGAAUGUUUAUUCAUUUGUAGAAAAUAGAAGAAAGUAAGAAGGUGACUGGAAUCUAGAUAUACACUUGUGAUUUUAUUAUUGUUCAUUCAUUUUUGGUGGGAGUUU